UGGUGCAAAACCUGCUUUGAAGUAGGUUCCUACAGGUGUCGCAUAGACUACAAGCAUAUAUUCUGGGGACGGGGCUACACCCAGCACAGACCCGCUCCCUAGGAGCAGGGGCCUAAGGUAGAGAGCACCUUUUCCAUGUGGUGGUACCCAGCGCUUGUUGGCCAAAACUGUCUCCUUAACGGAGCAAAGGAAUUGGUCGACGGAUGGAGAUGGCAUGCACAUCCUCUUGGCUCCAAGUUGCAUCCGGAGCGCAUUCUCCACUGGCCUGAAGAGUGAAAUACCAUGACCAUCCACA
RNAcentral lists this unclassified non-coding RNA (295 nucleotides) under Hevea brasiliensis (rubber tree). Lineage: Eukaryota; Viridiplantae; Streptophyta; Magnoliopsida; Malpighiales; Euphorbiaceae. The record is from RNAcentral.